RNAcentral lists this ribosomal RNA (287 nucleotides) under uncultured bacterium. RNAcentral's name for it is "partial 16S ribosomal RNA". It matches the Rfam family "Bacterial small subunit ribosomal RNA", at positions 1132 to 1418 of the family's 1533-position model. The record is from RNAcentral.
UGGGCACUCUAAGGAGACUGCCGGUGACAAACCGGAGGAAGGUGGGGAUGACGUCAAGUCAUCAUGGCCCUUAUGGCCAGGGCUACACACGUGCUACAAUGGCUAGUACAAAGGGUUGCCAACUCGCGAGAGUGCGCUAAUCCCAUAAAGCUAGUCGUAGUCCGGAUCGGAGUCUGCAACUCGACUCCGUGAAGUCGGAAUCGCUAGUAAUCGCAGAUCAGAAUGCUGCGGUGAAUACGUUCCCGGGCCUUGUACACACCGCCCGUCACACCAUGGGAGUUGGCUGC